This 380-nucleotide ribosomal RNA is filed under the name uncultured eukaryote. Its description in RNAcentral is "partial 18S ribosomal RNA". It matches the Rfam family "Eukaryotic small subunit ribosomal RNA", at positions 592 to 976 of the family's 1831-position model. The record is from RNAcentral.
CAAUAGCGUAUAUUAAAGUUGUUGCAGUUAAAAAGCUCGUAGUUGGAUUUCGGGACGGUCCGGCUGGUCCGCCGCAAGGCGUGUUACUGACCGGGCUGUCCUUCUUUGCAAAGGCUGCAUGUGCUCUUAACUGAGUGUGUGUGUAGGAUUUGUGACGUUUACUUUGAAAAAAUUAGAGUGUUCAAAGCAGGCCUGCGCUUGAAUACAUAAGCAUGGAAUAAUGGAAUAGGACUUUGGUUCUAUUUUGUUGGUUUCUGGAACCGAAGUAAUGAUUAAAAGGGACAGUUGGGGGCAUUCGUAUUUCGUUGUCAGAGGUGAAAUUCUUGGAUUUACGAAAGACGAACUACUGCGAAAGCAUUUGCCAAGAAUGUUUUCAUUAA